UACAUGGGGUGCAAACGUUGCUCGGAAUUAUUGGGCGUAAAGCGCACGUAGGCGGUUUGUUAAGUCGGAUGUGAAAUCCCUCGGCUCAACUGAGGAAGUGCAUCCGAAACUGGCAAGCUUGAGUACGAAAGAGGGUCGCGGAAUUCCCGGUGUAGAGGUGAAAUUCGUAGAUAUCUGGAGGAACACCGGUGGCGAAGGCGGCAUCCUGGACCAACACUGACGCUGAGGAGCGAAAGCCAGGGGAGCAAACGGG
RNAcentral lists this ribosomal RNA (253 nucleotides) under uncultured bacterium. RNAcentral's name for it is "partial 16S ribosomal RNA". It matches the Rfam family "Bacterial small subunit ribosomal RNA", at positions 524 to 776 of the family's 1533-position model. The record is from RNAcentral.